UACGUAGGGUGCAAGCGUUAAUCGGAAUUACUGGGCGUAAAGCGUGCGCAGGCGGUGAUGUAAGACAGGUGUGAAAUCCCCGGGCUUAACCUGGGAACUGCAUUUGUGACUGGCGGGCUAGAGUAUGGCAGAGGGGGGUAGAAUUCCACGUGUAGCAGUGAAAUGCGUAGAGAUGUGGAGGAAUACCGAUGGCGAAGGCAGCCCCCUGGGCCAAUACUGACGCUCAUGCACGAAAGCGUGGGGAGCAAGCAGG
This 253-nucleotide ribosomal RNA is filed under the name uncultured bacterium. Its description in RNAcentral is "partial 16S ribosomal RNA". It matches the Rfam family "Bacterial small subunit ribosomal RNA", at positions 524 to 776 of the family's 1533-position model. The record is from RNAcentral.